Molecule: unclassified non-coding RNA, 207 nt
Filed under: Hevea brasiliensis (rubber tree)
Lineage: Eukaryota; Viridiplantae; Streptophyta; Magnoliopsida; Malpighiales; Euphorbiaceae
Source: RNAcentral
CGAAUCGGCAUCUGAUGAUUCUCCUAACUCUUCAUCGUCGAAGUGUAACGCGUAACGUUCAACCCUAUCAAACAUGUUAUAAUGCCGGACAAAGAGUAAAGGACGGCGUCCGGCGGUGCUGAUGUGGGUGUUGUGAUGGAGAGAAAUGAAAUUAGGGUUUAUGAUUAUGGAAUACCAUGAUUUGCAUACGGUGGUGCAUUGAACAAG